AACUGAAAGAUGUUGACAGUUGGUGGCUUCUAGAGGAGGAGGAGUCAGCUUUCCUUAUGGUGCUGAUACAAGGUGGAAGUCAUUGUCCCUGCAGCUCAGCUCUAUGGCCUUUGGACUAAAGAAUUUUGGCUGCAGAGCCGGAUGAUGGGCUCAUUCACUUACGCUUUUCAACAUUUCCCUUUUCCAGGAAAUGUGAACUCCCGCCGUGUGGCUCUUACUGAGGCCCGUGAGGAAUGCUUCAUCAUCUUUGGGGAAAAGAAUCAGGGAUGAACUUCGUCCUAAUAUUCCAGAACCUGCCAGAAGUCACUAGGACACUAGUGAUAAGCAGCAGGUGGACUCCAGCUGGUCCAGCUGAGGUCCCAGUGUCCAGGAACCCUGCCUCCAGAGCUCACUUUUCUCUCCAUUCCCAGUCGUUGUUCCUGCUCUCUGCAGGCCAGGAUCUAGGACCAGGUAAUGUGAAACACUGCCUCGUGAUCCUCAUUGAGGCUUUGGAGAAAUGUUUUCGUCAUCUCUGGCAAAAGGUGAGAUAUCCUUGGCAUGGUGAUAUCGGAGACUCAACUCUGCAGUGUUCUAGUGAUCCAAGCAAAUGCCAUGGCUGAUGGGAUUUGCAAAACUACAAGUAGAGGUCAUCCUUCCUUGUAGGUCCCUAAAGAUGAAGGUGGAGAGAGCUGGGUGGAGCUGCAGGCUAUGGAAACGGACUGACGGGCCUAAUUGCUGCAUUUCUUUCUGAUUCCGCCAUUCCUUCCAACCUCUUAGAAUUCAGCGUCUUUCUUGGAGUCCCAUUCUCCCCUCUGUGUCUUUCCUAGUUCAGAUACACGUGGUGGCAGAUCUCUGAGUUGAAGACCAGCCUAGACUACAGAGCAAAUUCCAGGGCAGUCAAGGCUACAGAGAGAAACCCUGUCUUGAUAAAUAAACAAACAAACCACUGCUGUAUUGGCAGACGGGCAGUGCUGUGCAGGCAGCCUCAGCGGCUGGUCACACUUGCAAUUGAUUGCCUUUAAGGUUGGGGUGGCUGCUGGCCCGCCCCUAUGCAGAUCUUGCCAAAGUCUUGCUUGCUGUUUGGAGUCCUUGUGAAAGCUACUGUCUAUAUUUUGGUUCCCACUAGCUUUUCACCUCGCAGAAAUUCUUUUAUGCAGCCUCUCGAGACCUGUUUAUCAGGCUUUGGUGUGUGUCAUCCACGAUUUUUGGUUUGCCAUUCCCAAGAGGUCUCAGGCUGCCAAGACGAUGCAACAACAGAAAUCAUUUGGCAAUGUUUUUUCUUUUGGUUUUUUUCCAUCUUCUCUGUUGCUUUCCAGGGCUGAACACCCAGAACCAAGUGGAGUGGAUUUUUUUCUAGCUUCUGCUAUUGCCAGCGUUGUCCUGGGUAUUGAGUCACCCCCUCCUCCACACCCUCAUAAACAUGCAGUGCGCCAUCACUCCCUCCCCCAUUUGGGGUGCCCACUGCUUUUCUCGUAGCUCUUCUCAGCUUUCUCCAGGUUGUUUUCUGGAGAUGAUCCUUUCCUACUUCAGGGUUGCUCCAUGUCUUCUGUUCUCAUGUGCGUUUGUUAAGGUGUAGAACGGGUGUGUGUAAAUUUGCAGAUGGCCACGAGAUGUCGCUCUACACCCGCGGUAUCUGUUCUGUUACUGACUAGGGAUGUUUAAGCGGUGGGUUUCUGAGUGACAGCAGUCUUGAGCUGUUUUUUUGGAGUGCAGUAAAUGUAUCGCAUCCUUCAUUAAGACUUGAAGGAAUACAAAAUCAAACACUGUGCCUGGGAAGACUCUCUAAGGAUUUAUGCGUCGGUUAUCUAUUUUCUUUAUUGUUCAAAAUUCUCUACGACAUUCUCUUGCCUCGAUUUGCCUGGAUAGUCGCCAGGUGAAAAAAGUUAUGCAGCAAUAUCUGUAUGCUAGUAGCUGUUUGAAAUGAUUUUCAAAACUUUCAGGAAGAUUUAACUUAGUUAUGGACAUACAGGUUUCAGACUUUUUCGUACACUCAAAACUCAUUACAACUAGUUUUUCUUUAGUGUGAUGAUUGUAUGAAUAACACCAUCUCUGUAAGUGUGAACCCUGUUAAGAAGUUGAGCCUGUUUGUAAGAAGGCAUUCAGUAAUAGUUUUUGUUUUUUAAAUGAAUAAGUUGGAAGAAUAACUUGAAAUUUUGACGAAAGGCUAUUUUGUAACACUUGUUAAAUGCCCUUAAGAAUGAUCUGGUCCCUUCUUUAUUUUAUUUUAAUGAUAAUGGCAUCAAUUUAAUAAAGGUAAUGGUUUAAAAAUA
Molecule: non-coding RNA, 2249 nt
Organism: Myodes glareolus (Bank vole)
Lineage: Eukaryota; Metazoa; Chordata; Mammalia; Rodentia; Cricetidae
Source: RefSeq, a predicted model, not a curated record